GAUGAACGCUGGCGGCGUGCUUAACACAUGCAAGUCGAACGAUGAUCCCAGCUUGCUGGGGGAUUAGUGGCGAACGGGUGAGUAACACGUGAGUAACCUGCCCUUGACUCUGGGAUAAGCCUGGGAAACUGGGUCUAAUACCGGAUACGACCAUUCCACGCAUGUGGUGGUGGUGGAAAGCUUUUGUGGUUUUGGAUGGACUCGCGGCCUAUCAGCUUGUUGGUGGGGUAAUAGCCUACCAAGGCGACGACGGGUAGCCGGCCUGAGAGGGUGACCGGCCACACUGGGACUGAGACACGGCCCAGACUCCUACGGGAGGCAGCAGUGGGGAAUAUUGCACAAUGGGCGCAAGCCUGAUGCAGCGACGCCGCGUGAGGGAUGACGGCCUUCGGGUUGUAAACCUCUUUCAGUAGGGAAGAAGCGUAAGUGACGGUACCUGCAGAAGAAGCGCCGGCUAACUACGUG
This 465-nucleotide ribosomal RNA is filed under the name uncultured bacterium. RNAcentral's name for it is "bacterial SSU rRNA". It matches the Rfam family "Bacterial small subunit ribosomal RNA", at positions 28 to 507 of the family's 1533-position model. The record is from RNAcentral.